RNAcentral lists this ribosomal RNA (253 nucleotides) under uncultured bacterium. Its description in RNAcentral is "partial 16S ribosomal RNA". It matches the Rfam family "Bacterial small subunit ribosomal RNA", at positions 524 to 776 of the family's 1533-position model. The record is from RNAcentral.
UACGUAGGGCGCAAGCGUUAUCCGGAAUUAUUGGGCGUAAAGAGCUCGUAGGCGGUUUGUCGCGUCUGCCGUGAAAGUCCGGGGCUCAACUCCGGAUCUGCGGUGGGUACGGGCAGACUAGAGUGAUGUAGGGGAGACUGGAAUUCCUGGUGUAGCGGUGAAAUGCGCGGAUAUCAGGAGGAACACCGAUGGCGAAGGCAGGUCUCUGGGCAUUAACUGACGCUGAGGAGCGAAAGCAUGGGGAGCGAACAGG